RNAcentral lists this ribosomal RNA (252 nucleotides) under uncultured bacterium. RNAcentral's name for it is "partial 16S ribosomal RNA". It matches the Rfam family "Bacterial small subunit ribosomal RNA", at positions 524 to 776 of the family's 1533-position model. The record is from RNAcentral.
UACGUAGGUGGCAAGCGUUGUCCGGAAUUAUUGGGCGUAAAGCGCGCGCAGGUGGGAUCUUAAGUCUGUUCUGAAAGUUCGGAGCUUAACUCCGUGAUGGGAUGGAAACUGGGAUUCUUGAGUACCGGAGAGGAAAGCGGAAUUCCCCGUGUAGCGGUGAAAUGCGUAGAUAUGGGGAGGAACACCAGUGGCGAAGGCGGCUUUCUGGACGGUGUCUGACACUGAGGCGCGAAAGCUAGGGGAGCGAACGGG